GCGGGUGUAGUUCAAUGGCAGAACGGCAGCUUCCCAAGCUGCAUACGAGGGUUCGAUCCCCUUCACCCGCUCCA
RNAcentral lists this transfer RNA (74 nucleotides) under Verminephrobacter aporrectodeae subsp. tuberculatae. RNAcentral's name for it is "tRNA-Gly". It matches the Rfam family "tRNA". From Rfam's summary of the family: Transfer RNA (tRNA) molecules are approximately 80 nucleotides in length. Lineage: Bacteria; Pseudomonadati; Pseudomonadota; Betaproteobacteria; Burkholderiales; Comamonadaceae. RNAcentral also lists the same sequence under 8 other names. The record is from RNAcentral.